CCGCCCCUCAUUGGGGAGUAGCCGCCCCGCGGCACGUCCGCACCGCUUCGCCGGUGCGUCGCACGUGUGGUUCGCGGGGGCGCCUGUCAACAGACUUGGCCGUCACGGCCAUGGCAGUCGCAGCCUCUGGCCUGGCGAGACCGAUGAUCCACACGCGCCGCAACAGGGCCCGGCGUGUCGUGGGUCGUCGCUCGCUCAUUUCCGGCCCGAGGA
This 213-nucleotide small RNA is filed under the name Burkholderia sp. RNAcentral's name for it is "Manganese sequence". It matches the Rfam family "Manganese Mn2+ riboswitch aptamer (yybP-ykoY)". From Rfam's summary of the family: This RNA was originally discovered in E. coli during a large scale screen and was named SraF. The family was later found to exist upstream of related families of protein genes in many bacteria, including the the yybP and ykoK genes in B. subtilis. The specific functions of these proteins are unknown, but this structured RNA element may be involved in their genetic regulation as a riboswitch. The record is from RNAcentral. Lineage: Bacteria; Pseudomonadati; Pseudomonadota; Betaproteobacteria; Burkholderiales; Burkholderiaceae.